CCUACGGGAGGCAGCAGUGGGGAAUAUUGGGCAAUGGGCGCAAGCCUGACCCAGCAACGCCGCGUGAAGGAAGAAGGCUUUCGGGUUGUAAACUUCUUUUCUCAGGGACGAAGAAAGUGACGGGACCUGAGGAAUAAGCCACGGCUAACUACGUGCCAGCAGCCGCGGUAAUACGGAGGUGGCGAGCGUUAUCCGGAUUUAUUGGGUAUAAGGGGUGCGUAGGCGGAUUAUUAAGUCAGCGGUAAAAUGUCCGGGCUCAACCCCGGCCGGCCGUUGAAACUGGGGAUCUUGAGUGGGUGAGAAGUAUGCGGAAUGCGUGGUGUAGCGGUGAAAUGCAUAGAUAUCACGAAGAACUCCGAUUGCGAAGGCAGCCUACCG
Molecule: ribosomal RNA, 378 nt
Filed under: uncultured bacterium
Lineage: Bacteria
Description: partial 16S ribosomal RNA
Rfam family: Bacterial small subunit ribosomal RNA
Source: RNAcentral